UCCGGUGGCUUUUGCGAGGGGGAAACACCCGUUCCCAUUCCGAACACGGCCGUUAAGCCCCUCAGCGUCGAUGGUACUGCCCGGGCGACCGGGUGGGAGAGUAGAACGCCGCCGGGA
This 117-nucleotide ribosomal RNA is filed under the name Acidobacteriota bacterium. The record is from RNAcentral. Lineage: Bacteria; Pseudomonadati; Acidobacteriota.